UACCACCCUUCAAAGUUCAGUUGAACUUUACGCAACCAACACUGCCAAUCGAUCUUAUCCUCUCCAUCUCCUCAAAACAACUUUACGGCAACCAAACUGCUUCAAAGUUUACCACCCUUCAAAGUUCAGUUCAAGUCGAUCUUAUCUUCUCCAUCUCCUCAAAGUUCAGUUCAACAAAUAUCACUGCCCCCCCUUCGGUUCUUCACCUAGGUCGUGCCGGAAACUAGAUUUGCAGUUCAGUUCAACAAAUAUCACCGCCCCCCUUCAGAUGAAGACGAUGAGGUUUUGAGGGCCGGCGACCGGAGACGCCGCUCACGGCGGCGGUCUCUAUCUCCGACCGGAGACGCCGCUCACGGUAAACCCUCCUGUUUGUGAUCAAUCACCUGAUACAUCUUGCAAAGUCCCCUCUGCAGGAAAUUUAAAACGAAAGGGCAGCAAGUGAAUAACAAAAAGAAAGAAGCAAGAUGGGAAUUUCUAGUUAGAAAAGUGGAAGCAGCUAAAGCUGUAUCGUCGGAUAUGUAAUUUUAUUUUGUUUAUGCUCGUACAUUUUAAACAUUUUUUUUUUUAG
Molecule: long non-coding RNA, 568 nt
Filed under: Helianthus annuus (common sunflower)
Lineage: Eukaryota; Viridiplantae; Streptophyta; Magnoliopsida; Asterales; Asteraceae
Description: hypothetical non coding rna
Source: RNAcentral